CCUAAAGAAUGAGGCUCACAAAGGGUAGAACCAGGCAGCUCUGGAUUAUCUAAGUGGUAGGAAGUAAUCAAUGAUCCCUUCAAAGCAUCUCUGUUGAAAUAAAUCCCAUUCCAUUUUUUUCUUUUAACAGACCUUAAGUGACCCUGCUCAAGAUGAACUGUCCUAGAAUAAAAUUUGAUUGGCCAACUUCAGUCAGUGAUUACUCUUGGCAACAAGACAGGGUUCCUUGACUGACAGUCCCAUGGAGACUCUCAUAAUAAGGAGCCAGUAAUCUCCAACAAGGAAUUCAGAGUGCUCUUAAGAACAGGAGGGCGAAUGGGUGCUGGGAAGCCAAGGAAGAGCAAAUGUCCACUUCCAUCUGGGACAUGACCUUGCUACAGGGCCCCUCCUGAGUUGGGGGGGUGGGCAGGGAGCAUUAACGUGGAAGUAAUUGAGAAUUAAUUUUUCUUUAAAAAUCUCCAGGCAUAAUGUCAAUAGUUCAGAAUGUAACACUAUUUGACAUUAACAGAGCUCACACUGAAAAAUCGCAGGUAUGUAAAUAAAUGUUGGAAUGAAAAUAAAUAAGAAACUGAAAGAAAAGCUGAGAUAUGCUGAUGUUUAAGGAAGAUCAUAUGUCACUGUUUUGCCAAACCUGAUGAAAAGAUAAGCCAAAAGCCCUAUGAAGGCUUGUCUGUGUUCAUCACUGUUUUGCAGCAUCUAGAACAGUGAGGUAUUCAAGAAAACGUUUGCAUGAGUGUAUCAAUGUGGCUAGUGCUGUGAGAGAAGGAGAUGGAUGAGUUUUCUUCUGUGACCAGGCCAGAUUUUCUUUUUAAGUCAUCUCUACACCCAAGGUGGGGCUUGAACUCACCACCCCGAGAUCCUCUGUCGAGUGCUGUACCGAUGACUAAGCCAGCCAGGCGUCCCUGCAUCAACUUUUCAACUGGAGAUUAUGUCAUGCAGAAUCAACUCACACCAUAAGGAUAUGUCCACAUAGAGCAUAAAUAAAAGCGGGGUGUUUACAGAAUUUCUGGACCCACUUGUGCUCUCUGUGAGCCUCCAACUAUCGUCAUCUCUGUAACUAUAGUAAUCUCCACCCCCAAUGUGACUGUAUUGGAGAUAAGGCCUUUGAGGAGGUGAUUAAGGUGAAAUGAGGUCAUGAGGGUGGAGCCCUGAUCCCAUAGAACUGGGUUCUAAGAAGAGGAAGAGGCACCAGAGGUCUCUCUCCCGCCUCCCCCCCCCCACCACCAUGUGAAGACAUGGUAGGAAGGCAGCCAUUUGCAGGCCAGGAAGAGGGCUCUCACUGGAACUGGCUGCGUUGGCACCCUGAUCUCAGACUCACAGCCUCCAGGACUGUGAGAAAUAAAUGUCUGUGCCUGAAGCCACCCGGUCUAUGGUAUCUUGUUAUG
This 1385-nucleotide long non-coding RNA is filed under the name Zalophus californianus (California sea lion). RNAcentral's name for it is "lncRNA (ENSZCAG00015000544.1)". The record is from RNAcentral. Lineage: Eukaryota; Metazoa; Chordata; Mammalia; Carnivora; Otariidae.